UGCCCCAUGGCUGAGUUGGUUACAGCGUCCGACUGUUAUCAACAUAACAUCGGAAGGUCGUGAGUUCGAGCCUCACUGGGGCAG
Non-coding RNA from Pisolithus tinctorius Marx 270, 84 nucleotides. The record is from Rfam. NCBI's taxonomy places the organism in Eukaryota, Fungi, Basidiomycota, Agaricomycetes, Boletales, Pisolithaceae.